This 468-nucleotide ribosomal RNA is filed under the name uncultured bacterium. RNAcentral describes it as "partial 16S ribosomal RNA". It matches the Rfam family "Bacterial small subunit ribosomal RNA", at positions 28 to 507 of the family's 1533-position model. The record is from RNAcentral.
GACGAACGCUGGCGGCGUGCUUAACACAUGCAAGUCGAACGGAAAGGCCCUGCUUUUGUUGGGUGCUCGAGUGGCGAACGGGUGAGUAACACGUGAGUAACCUGCCCUUGACUUUGGUAUAACUUCAGGAAACUGGGGCUAAUACCGGAUAGGAGCUCCUGCUGCAUGGUGGGGGUUGGAAAGUUUCGGUGGUUGUGGAUGGACUCGCGGCUUAUCAGCUUGUUGGUGGGGUAGUGGCUUACCAAGGCUUUGACGGGUAGCCGGCCUGAUAGGGUGACCGGCCACAUUGGGACUGCGAUACGGCCCAGACUCCUACGGGAGGCAGCAGUGGAGAAUAUUGCACAAUGGGCGGAAGCCUGAUGCAGCAACGCCGCGUGCGGGAUGACGGCCUACGGGUUGUAAACCGCUUUCGCCUGUGACGAAGAGUGAGUGACGGUAAUGGGUAAAGAAGCACCGGCUAAAUACGUG